GUUCGUUGCGAAAAAAUCCACUCGAGUUUCGCUACCCGGCAAUAUGCAAUCGGGUGCCGAAAUGCACCCGUUUUGCAUCAUUUUUCGUUCCGGAACCGAAUGCUCAAAAACACUCCCAAACAUGUUCUAGGGUAUAAUUAGGAAGAUUGCAUGCGUUCGUUGCGAAAAAAUCCACCCGAGUUUCGCUACCCGGCAAUAUGCAAUCGGGUGCCGAAAUGCACCCGUUUUGCAUCAUUUUUCGUUCCGGAACCGAAUGCUCAAAAACACUCCCAAACAUGUUCUAGGGUAUAAUUAUGAAGAUUGCAUGCGUUCGUUGCGAAAAAAUCCACCCGAGUUUCGCUACCCGGCAAUAUGCAUUCGGGUACCGAAAUGCACCCGUAUUGCAUCAUUUUUCGUUCCGGAACCGAAUGCUCAAAAACACUACCAAACAUGUUCUAGGGUAUAAUUAUGAAGAUUGCAUGCGUUCGUUGCGAAAAAAUCUAAUCGAGUUUCGCUACACGGAAAAAGUGCAUUCGGGUGCCGAAAUGCACCCGUUUUGCAUCAUUUUUCAUUCCGGAACCGAAUGCUCAAAAACACUCCCAAACAUGUUCUAGGGUAUAAUUAUGAAGAUUGCAUGCGUUCGUUGCGAAAAAAUCCACCCGAGUUUCGCUACACGGAAAAAGUGCAUUCGGGUGCCGAAAUGCACCCGUUUUGCAUCAUUUUUCGUUCCGGAACCGAAUGCUCAAAAACACUCCCAAACAUGUUUUAGGGUAUAAUUAGGAAGAUUGCAUGCGUUCGUUGCGAAAAAAUCCACUCGAGUUUCGCUACCCGGCAAUAUGCAUUCGGGUGCCGAAAUGCACCCGUUUUGCAUCAUUUUUCAUUCCGGAACCGAAUGCUCAAAAACACUCCCAAACAUGUUCUAGGGUAUAAUUAUGAAGAUUGCAUGCGUUCGUUGCGAAAAAAUCCACCCGAGUUUCGCUACCCGGCAAUAUGCAUUCGGGUACCGAAAUGCACCCGUAUUGCAUCAUUUUUCGUUCCGGAACCGAAUGCUCAAAAACACUACCAAACAUGUUCUAGGGUAUAAUUAUGAAGAUUGCAUGCGUUCGUUGCGAAAAAAUCAACCCGAGUUUCGCUACCCGUAAAUAGUGCAUUCGGCUACCGAAAUGCACCCGUUUUGCAUCGUUUUUCGUUCCGGAACCGAAUGCUCAAAAACACUCCCAAACAUGUUUUAGGGUAUAAUUACGAAGAUUGCAUGCGUUCGUUGCGAAAAAAUCCACCCGAGUUUCGCUACCCGGCAAUAUGCAUUCGGGUGCCGAAAUGCACCCGUUUUGCAUCAUUUUUCAUUCCGGAACCGAAUGCUCAAAAACACUCCCAAACAUGUUCUAGGGUAUAAUUAUGAAGAUUGCAUGCGUUCGUUGCGAAAAAAUCAACCCGAGUUUCGCUACCCGUAAAUAGUGCAUUCGGCUACCGAAAUGCACCCGUUUUGCAUCGUUUUUCGUUCCGGAACCGAAUGCUCAAAAACACUCCCAAACAUGUUUUAGGGUAUAAUUACGAAGAUUGCAUGCGUUCGUUGCGAAAAAAUCCACCCGAGUUUCGCUACCCGGCAAUAUGCAUUCGGGUGCCGAAAUGCACCCGUAUUGCAUCAUUUUUCGUUCCGGAACCGAAUGCUCAAAAGCACUCCCAAACAUGUUCUAGGGUAUAAUUAUGAAGAUUGCAUGCGUUCGUUGCGAAAAAAUCAACCCGAGUUUCGCUACCCGUAAAUAGUGCAUUCGGCUACCGAAAUGCACCCGUUUUGCAUCGUUUUUCGUGCUGUAACCGAAUGCUCAGAAACACUCCCAAACAUGUUCUAGGGUCUAAUUAGAAAGAUUGCACGCGUUCGUUGCGAAAAAAUCCACCCGAGUUUCGCUACCCGGCAAUAUGCAAUCGGGUGCCGAAAUGCACCCGUUUUGCAUCAUUUUUCGUUCCGGAACCGAAUGCUCAAAAACACUCCCAAACAUAUUCUAGGGUAUAAUUAUGAAGAUUGCAUGCGUUCGUUGCGAAAAAAUCCACCCGAGUUUCGCUACCCGGCAAUAUGCAUUCGGGUACCGAAAUGCACCCGUAUUGCAUCAUUUUUCGUUCCGGAACCGAAUGCUCAAAAACACUCCCAAACAUGUUCUAGGGUAUAAUUAUGAAGAUUGCAUGCGUUCGUUGCGAAAAAAUCCACCCGAGUUUCGCUACACGGAAAAAGUGCAUUCGGGUGCCGAAAUGCACCCGUUUUGCAUCAUUUUUCGUUCCGGAACCGAAUGCUCAAAAACACUCCCAAACAUGUUUUAGGGUAUAAUUAGGAAGAUUGCAUGCGUUCGUUGCGAAAAAAUCCACUCGAGUUUCGCUACCCGGCAAUAUGCAAUCGGGUGCCGAAAUGCACCCGUUUUGCAUCAUUUUUCGUUCCGGAACCGAAUGCUCAAAAACACUCCCAAACAUGUUCUAGGGUAUAAUUAGGAAGAUUGCAUGCGUUCGUUGCGAAAAAAUCCACCCGAGUUUCGCUACCCGGCAAUAUGCAAUCGGGUGCCGAAAUGCACCCGUUUUGCAUCAUUUUUCGUUCCGGAACCGAAUGCUCAAAAACACUCCCAAACAUGUUCUAGGGUAUAAUUAUGAAGAUUGCAUGCGUUCGUUGCGAAAAAAUCCACCCGAGUUUCGCUACCCGGCAAUAUGCAUUCGGGUACCGAAAUGCACCCGUAUUGCAUCAUUUUUCGUUCCGGAACCGAAUGCUCAAAAACACUACCAAACAUGUUCUAGGGUAUAAUUAUGAAGAUUGCAUGCGUUCGUUGCGAAAAAAUCUAAUCGAGUUUCGCUACACGGAAAAAGUGCAUUCGGGUGCCGAAAUGCACCCGUUUUGCAUCAUUUUUCAUUCCGGAACCGAAUGCUCAAAAACACUCCCAAACAUGUUCUAGGGUAUAAUUAUGAAGAUUGCAUGCGUUCGUUGCGAAAAAAUCCACCCGAGUUUCGCUACACGGAAAAAGUGCAUUCGGGUGCCGAAAUGCACCCGUUUUGCAUCAUUUUUCGUUCCGGAACCGAAUGCUCAAAAACACUCCCAAACAUGUUUUAGGGUAUAAUUAGGAAGAUUGCAUGCGUUCGUUGCGAAAAAAUCCACUCGAGUUUCGCUACCCGGCAAUAUGCAUUCGGGUGCCGAAAUGCACCCGUUUUGCAUCAUUUUUCAUUCCGGAACCGAAUGCUCAAAAACACUCCCAAACAUGUUCUAGGGUAUAAUUAUGAAGAUUGCAUGCGUUCGUUGCGAAAAAAUCCACCCGAGUUUCGCUACCCGGCAAUAUGCAUUCGGGUACCGAAAUGCACCCGUAUUGCAUCAUUUUUCGUUCCGGAACCGAAUGCUCAAAAACACUACCAAACAUGUUCUAGGGUAUAAUUAUGAAGAUUGCAUGCGUUCGUUGCGAAAAAAUCCAAUCGAGUUUCGCUACACGGAAAAAGUGCAUUCGGGUGCCGAAAUGCACCCGUUUUGCAUCAUUUUUCGUUCCGGAACCGAAUGCUCAAAAACACUCCCAAACAUGUUCUAGGGUAUAAUUAUGAAGAUUGCAUGCGUUCGUUGCGAAAAAAUCCACCCGAGUUUCGCUACCCGGUAAUAUGCAUUCGGGUACCGAAAUGCACCCGUAUUGCAUCAUUUUUCGUUCCGGAACCGAAUGCUCAAAAACACUACCAAACAUGUUCUAGGGUAUAAUUAUGAAGAUUGCAUGCGUUCGUUGCGAAAAAAUCCAAUCGAGUUUCGCUACACGGAAAAAGUGCAUUCGGGUGCCGAAAUGCACCCGUUUUGCAUCAUUUUUCGUUCUGGAACCGAAUGCUCAAAAACACUCCCAAACAUGUUCUAGGGUAUAAUUAUGAAGAUUGCAUGUGUUCGUUGCGAAAAAAUCCACCCGAGUUUCGCUACCCGGCAAUAUGCAUUCGGGUACCGAAAUGCAACCGUAUUGCAUCAUUUUUCGUUCCGGAACCGAAUGCUCAAAAACACUCCCAAACAUGUUCUAGGGUAUAAUUAUGAAGAUUGCAUGCGUUCGUUGCGAAAAAAUCCAAUCGAGUUUCGCUACACGGAAAAAGUGCAUUCGGGUGCCGAAAUGCACCCGUUUUGCAUCAUUUUUCGUUCCGGAACCGAAUGCUCAAAAACACUCCCAAACAUGUUUUAGGGUAUAAUUAGGAAGAUUGCAUGCGUUCGUUGCGAAAAAAUCCACCCGAGUUUCGCUACCCGGCAAUAUGCAUUCGGGUGCCGAAAUGCACCCGUUUUGCAUCAUUUUUCAUUCCGGAACCGAAUGCUCAAAAACACUCCCAAACAUGUUCUAGGGUAUAAUUAUGAAGAUUGCAUGCGUUCGUUGCGAAAAAAUCCACCCGAGUUUCGCUACCCGGCAAUAUGCAUUCGGGUACCGAAAUGCACCCGUAUUGCAUCAUUUUUCGUUCCGGAACCGAAUGCUCAAAAACACUCCCAAACAUGUUCUAGGGUAUAAUUAGGAAUAUUGCAUGCGUUCGUUGCGAAAAAAUCCACCUGAGUUUCGCUACCCGGAAAUAGUGCAUUCGGGUGCCGAAAUGCACCCGUUUUGCAUCAUUUUUCGUUCCGGAACCGAAUGCUCAAAAACACUCCCAAACAUGUUUUAGGGUAUAAUUAGGAAGAUUGCAUGCGUUCGUUGCGAAAAAAUCCACCCGAGUUUCGCUACCCGGCAAUAUGCAAUCGGGUGCCGAAAUGCACCCGUUUUGCAUCAUUUUUCGUUCCGGAACCGAAUGCUCAAAAACACUCCCAAACAUGUUCUAGGGUAUAAUUAUGAAGAUUGCAUGCGUUCGUUGCGAAAAAAUCCAAUCGAGUUUCGCUACACGGAAAAAGUGCAUUCGGGUGCCGAAAUGCACCCGUUUUGCAUCAUUUUUCGUUCCGGAACCGAAUGCUCAAAAACACUCCCAAACAUGUUUUAGGGUAUAAUUAGGAAGAUUGCAUGCGUUCGUUGCGAAAAAAUCCACCCGAGUUUCGCUACCCGGCAAUAUGCAAUCGGGUGCCGAAAUGCACCCGUUUUGCAUCAUUUUUCGUUCCGGAACCGAAUGCUCAAAAACACUCCCAAACAUGUUCUAGGGUAUAAUUAUGAAGAUUGCAUGCGUUCGUUGCGAAAAAAUCCAAUCGAGUUUCGCUACACGGAAAAAGUGCAUUCGGGUGCCGAAAUGCACCCGUUUUGCAUCAUUUUUCGUUCCGGAACCGAAUGCUCAAAAAGACUCCCAAACAUGUUUUAGGGUAUAAUUAGGAAGAUUGCAUGCGUUCGUUGCGAAAAAAUCCACCCGAGUUUCGCUACCCGGCAAUAUGCAAUCGGGUGCCGAAAUGCACCCGUUUUGCAUCAUUUUUCGUUCCGGAACCGAAUGCUCAAAAACACUCCCAAACAUGUUCUAGGGUAUAAUUAUGAAGAUUGCAUGCGUUCGUUGCGAAAAAAUCCACCCGAGUUUCGCUACCCGGCAAUAUGCAUUCGGGUACCGAAAUGCACCCGUAUUGCAUCAUUUUUCGUUCCGGAACCGAAUGCUCAAAAACACUCCCAAACAUGUUCUAGGGUAUAAUUAGGAAGAUUGCAUGCGUUCGUUGCGAAAAAAUCCACCCGAGUUUCGCUUCCCGGCAAUAUGCAUUCGGGUGCCGAAAUGCACCCGUUUUGCAUCAUUUUUCGUUCCGGAACCGAAUGCUCAAAAACACUCCCAAACAUGUUCUAGGGUAUAAUUAGGAAGAUUGCAUGCGUUCGUUGCGAAAAUAUCCACCCGAGUUUCGCUACCCGGCAAUAUGCAUUCGGGUGCCGAAAUGUACCCGUUUUGCAUCAUUUUUCGUUACGGAACCGAAUGCUCAAAAACACUCCCAAACAUGUUCUAGGGUAUAAUUAUGAAGAUUGCAUGCGUUCGUUGCGAAAAAAUUCACCCGAGUUUCGCUACCCGGAAAUAGUGCAUUCGGGUGCCGAAAUGCACCCGUUUUGCAUCGUUUUUCGUGCCGGAACCGAAUGCUCAAAAACACUCCCAAACAUGUUCUAAGGUCUAGUUAGGAAGAUUAGAUGCGUUCGUUGCGAAAAAAUCCACCCGAGUUUCGCUACGCGGAAAUAGGGCAUUCGGGUGCCGAAAUGCACCCGUUUUGCAUCAUUUUUCGUGCCGGAACCGAAUGCUCAAAUACACUCCCAAACAUGUUCUGGUGUAUACUUAGGAAGAUUGGAUGCGUUCGUUCCGAGAAAAUCCACCCGAGUUUCGCUACCCGGAAAUAGUGCAUUCGGGUGCCGAAAUGCACCCAUUUUGCAUCGUUUUUCGUGCCAGAUCGAAUGCUCAAAAACAUUCCCAAACAUGUUCUAGUGUAUAGUUAGGAAGAUUGCAUGCGUUCGUUGCGAGAAAAUCCACCCGAGUUUCGCUACCCGGAAAUAGUGCAUUCGGGUGCCGAAAUGCACCCGUUUUGCAUCAUUUUUCGUUCCGGAACCGAAUGCUCAAAAACACUACCAAACAUGUUCUAGGGUAUAAUUAUGAAGAUUGCAUGCGUUCGUUGCGAAAAAAUCCAAUCGAGUUUCGCUACACGGAAAAAGUGCAUUCGGGUGCCGAAAUGCACCCGUUUUGCAUCAUUUUUCGUUCCGGAACCGAAUGCUCAAAAACACUCCCAAACAUGUUCUAGGGUAUAAUUAUGAAGAUUGCAUGCGUUCGUUGCGAAAAAAUCCACCCGAGUUUCGCUACACGGAAAAAGUGC
RNAcentral lists this long non-coding RNA (6688 nucleotides) under Setaria viridis. RNAcentral's name for it is "long non-coding RNA (SVIR_LNC006925)". Lineage: Eukaryota; Viridiplantae; Streptophyta; Magnoliopsida; Poales; Poaceae. The record is from RNAcentral.